RNAcentral lists this long non-coding RNA (874 nucleotides) under Homo sapiens (human). Its description in RNAcentral is "HSALNT0203693". The record is from RNAcentral. Lineage: Eukaryota; Metazoa; Chordata; Mammalia; Primates; Hominidae.
CUUGAGGGAGGAAAGUGCAGGACACCGAGGGGACCUGUGUCUUGUGUUUCAGAUGGCUGGAGUACAGUGGCACGAUCUCAGCUCACUGAAGCCUUACCUACUGGGCUCAAGCGAUCCUCCCACCUCAGCCUCGCACAUAGCUGGGACUACAGGAUAGAAACUUGAUACCUCCCUGCAAGCUGAGGGAGCAGGCUCCGGCCUUGGCCAGCCCAGAAAGGGGAUCCCACAAUGCAGCGGUGGGCUGAAGUGUUCCUCAAGUGCCGCCAAAGUGGGAGCCCAGGCAGAGGAGGCGCCGAGAGCGAGUGAGGGCUGUGAGGACUGCCAGCACGCUGUCACCUCUCAACACUGCGGUGCUGAUAAUGACACUUCCUGAUAAUUAGGAAUGUGGAGCCAAGAUGGCCGAAUAGGAACAGCUCCGGUCUACAGCUCCCAGCGUGAGCGACGCAGAAGAUGGGUGAUUUCUGCAUUUCCAUCUGAGGUUUUUCCCAUGGUGUUCCCUUUCCAAUGUCUUUCUGGAAGUCACACAUUGACCACUAACAACAGGAGAGAGGACAAAGAAAGGCAGCAAAAGACUAUUUCCAAUGCGAAAUAUGAUCAGGUCCUGCUUCCUGGUUGCUGUGAGGAUUCAAUCUAAUAAUAUAUAUUAGAAUGUUCCUGAACCUCUAAAAGGCUUAAAAAAUCUUGACAGGCUUACUGUUAUUCUAAUAAAUGUUCCAAAUAAUAGAAGUUUAGAACCAAUGGAGAGAGAAUCACAGAAGUUGGGCAAAUGAGCAUCAAAUUACCCACUUUAUAAAGUUCUCUGAAGAAUAUAACUUGCAAUAUGCUCAUGCUUUACUCCAGAAUUCAAUUUACUUACCCAGUCAUAGUCUGAACU